GGCGCUUUGGCUGAGUGGUUAUAGCGAUAGACUAGAAAUCUAUUUCCUUCGGGAGCGCAGGUUCGAAUCCUGCAGGCGUCG
Molecule: transfer RNA, 81 nt
Organism: Macrophomina phaseolina MS6
Lineage: Eukaryota; Fungi; Ascomycota; Dothideomycetes; Botryosphaeriales; Botryosphaeriaceae
Rfam family: tRNA
About the family: Transfer RNA (tRNA) molecules are approximately 80 nucleotides in length. Their secondary structure includes four short double-helical elements and three loops (D, anti-codon, and T loops). Further hydrogen bonds mediate the characteristic L-shaped molecular structure. tRNAs have two regions of fundamental functional importance: the anti-codon, which is responsible for specific mRNA codon recognition, and the 3' end, to which the tRNAs corresponding amino acid is attached (by aminoacyl-tRNA synthetases). tRNAs cope with the degeneracy of the genetic code in two manners: having more than one tRNA (with a specific anti-codon) for a particular amino acid; and 'wobble' base-pairing, i.e. permitting non-standard base-pairing at the 3rd anti-codon position.
Source: Rfam